This 1408-nucleotide ribosomal RNA is filed under the name metagenome. RNAcentral's name for it is "bacterial LSU rRNA". It matches the Rfam family "Bacterial large subunit ribosomal RNA", at positions 1539 to 2925 of the family's 2925-position model. The record is from RNAcentral.
AAUCCGGGGUUUCAAGGCCGAGAGCUGAUGACGAGUCGUCUUUUAGAUGACGAAGUGGUUGAUGCCAUGCUUCCAAGAAAAGCUUCUAAGCUUCAGGUAACCAGGAACCGUACCCCAAACCGACACAGGUGGUCGGGUAGAGAAUACCAAGGCGCUUGAGAGAACUCGGGUGAAGGAACUAGGCAAAAUGGCACCGUAACUUCGGGAGAAGGUGCGCCGGCUAGGGUGAAGGAUUUACUCCGUAAGCUCUGGCUGGUCGAAGAUACCAGGCCGCUGCGACCGUUUAUUAAAAACACAGCACUCUGCAAACACGAAAGUGGACGUAUAGGGUGUGACACCUCCCCGGUGCCGGAAGGUUAAUUGAUGGGGUUAGCGCAAGCGAAGCUCUUGAUCGAAGCCCCGGUAAACGGCGGCCGUAACAAUAACGGUCCUAAGGUAGCGAAAUUCCUUGUCGGGUAAGUUCCGACCUGCACGAAUGGCGUAACGAUGGCGGCGCUGCCUCCACCCGAGACUCAGUGAAAUUGAAAUCGCUGUGAAGAUGCAGUGUAUCCGCGGCUAGACGGAAAGACCCCGUGAACCUUUACUGUAGCUUUGCACUGGACUUUGAGCCUGCUUGUGUAGGAUAGGUGGGAGGCUUUGAAGCGUGGACGCCAGUUCGCGUGGAGCCAUCCUUGAAAUACCACCCUGGCAUGCUUGAGGUUCUAACUCUGGUCCGUAAUCCGGAUCGAGGACAGUGUAUGGUGGGCAGUUUGACUGGGGCGGUCUCCUCCCAAAGAGUAACGGAGGAGUACGAAGGUGCGCUCAGACCGGUCGGAAAUCGGUCGCAGAGUAUAAAGGCAAAAGCGCGUUUGACUGCGAGACAGACACGUCGAGCAGGUACGAAAGUAGGUCUUAGUGAUCCGGUGGUUCUGUAUGGAAGGGCCAUCGCUCAACGGAUAAAAGGUACUCCGGGGAUAACAGGCUGAUACCGCCCAAGAGUUCAUAUCGACGGCGGUGUUUGGCACCUCGAUGUCGGCUCAUCACAUCCUGGGGCUGAAGCCGGUCCCAAGGGUAUGGCUGUUCGCCAUUUAAAGUGGUACGCGAGCUGGGUUUAGAACGUCGUGAGACAGUUCGGUCCCUAUCUGCCGUGGACGUUUGAGAUUUGAGAGGGGCUGCUCCUAGUACGAGAGGACCGGAGUGGACGAACCUCUGGUGUUCCGGUUGUCACGCCAGUGGCAUUGCCCGGUAGCUAUGUUCGGAAAAGAUAACCGCUGAAAGCAUCUAAGCGGGAAACUUGCCUCAAGAUGAGAUCUCACUGGGAACUUGAUUCCCCUGAAGGGCCGUCGAAGACUACGACGUUGAUAGGCUGGGUGUGUAAGCGUUGUGAGGCGUUGAGCUAACCAGUACUAAUUGCCCGUGAGGCUUGACC